Molecule: ribosomal RNA, 246 nt
Filed under: uncultured bacterium
Lineage: Bacteria
Description: partial 16S ribosomal RNA
Rfam family: Bacterial small subunit ribosomal RNA
Source: RNAcentral
GAUCCUGGCUCAGGACGAACGCUGGCGGCGCGCCUAACACAUGCAAGUCGAACGGAGUUAAGAGGAGCUUGCUUUUCUUGACUUAGUGGCGAACGGGUGAGUAACGCGUGAGUAACCUGCCCUGGAGUGGGGGACAACAGUUGGAAACGACUGCUAAUACCGCAUAAGCCCACGGAUUCGCAUGGAUCUGCGGGAAAAGGNUUUAUUCGCUUCAGGAUGGACUCGCGUCCAAUUAGCUAGUUGGUG